CCAUACUGCAUCUUGGUCAGGUAACAGAUCUGUGUAUGUUUUUGAUGGAAAAGCACUGAAUUCACUUUUAAUCCAAAGGCCUUUUUAAGAUGAAGCAAUACUAACAAAAUAGAUGGGACAGCUGUUUUGUGAGCGGGGUCCUCAGCCUGCCUUUCCUCUCCCCAUUUGACUUAUACUACUGCUUUCCCCUUUCCCUUCUCUCACGCUGUUGGUAGAGCCCAGAGAUACUCCCCUGUGAAGCAGUGUGUUUUUCCAAGGAGCAGGUGGUGAUUUAUUUAGUAAUGAUAAAGAAUAGCAAGUUGCAGAUUUAAUCAUAACAGAAGCGUUUCCUUCCCUGCCCAGCAGAGUGUGGCCCCCCUGGAGCAGGAUUAGUGGGUGUGAGGUAGCAGGAGCUGCAGCAUAUCUUGAUCUCCAUUUUGCUCUUAUAUGUAGUGGGGAGCAGCAACCCUCCUUUCUAAUUACACAUCACUGCUCAGACAUCCAGUGGCACAGAGGAUUGAAGUAUUAGAAAUAAAGUCCAUGUUUUUACUUCCAAACUUAAAUCUCAGAAAAUCACACAAAAAUUGCUGUUGUGUGCAUGCUGCACAUGCGCUGGCAGUGCCUGUAGGCCAAGAAACACCCCCCUGCUUUGUGUGUGCACGUGUGAAGGGGCAGAGCAGCAAAUGUGGGUCCCUUCUCCUGUUGUUAUCCUGUUGUUACCCUAUUGCUACCCUGUUUCUACCCUGUUUUGCUGUAAUGGGGAUGACUCUUUCCCUGGGUGGCCAUGUCCAUCGGCACCAAUUCAGAGGGCAGCCAUCACUGCCUGCUUCUAUCACCUCUUCUGUAACGGGAAUUUCUGCCACUUUAAAUCUCAGAUGCAGUGUUGAAUGGUUUCAAGCUGCCUGCCCUGGGCAGUGCAGGACUGAGAGCAGGGUCUGUCUCUUAUUAGUGCCUCGUCUAGGCAUGAAAGAAGUUACAGCAGUGUAAUCCUUGGGCAGACACAUCCAUUCCUGUUGAAGACAGAUCUCCCACUAUAACCUAAUCUAAAAACUGUUGCUAGUUACAAAUAAAGUGAUGAAGUCAUUUUUGCCUCAAAUAAGAGUAAAGAGGUUUUGCUGGCGUAAUUGGGUCAAUUCUGCUCAUACCUUGGCUUUUAUCAGUGUGAUUUUUCAAGGCUGCUUAAGAGGGGAAGGAGGAGAAGAUGCUGGAGCAGUAAGCUGCAAUCUGCCGCCUUGCCCUUGGUGCUCAUGGGCUUUUUCAACCCGCAGCAGCUGCUGCUGGUGGGCCUGUUCCAUUCUCCAACACAGUCACCGACCCUGGCUGAGGUUCCGGCUUGUUUCUCCCUUUAAAUUUUCCAGGUGUCCCCUGUAGCAUGAGGGUUCAGAUGGCUCCUGUGGCCCUGGCAGUGGGGGAAGCUGCCCCUUCCUAAGCAGCCCUGUGGGAAGUGCAGCAGCUUGGCUCUGGUGGGCCUCAGUUGGGAUGUGUGGUGAAGAUCCUGGUGGCUCCAGACUCAUGUUGGGCAGCGUAGGCAUCCUGUGUGAUGACUUGGAUGUUUACAACUGUUCAGUGCCUUAGUUAUCUUUUAAUGGAUCUGCACUUUCCUUGGGCUACUUCUAUUUCUUUUUAAGAAAAUAAAUUCUUUUAACUGCAUGUCUUUGAUUUUAAUAUAUGCUACGAGCUACUAGGUGCAACUUGAUGGAACGAUCUCCACGGGUUUGUGAGAGGGCAUUAAGUAUUUAAGAAAUCAUAGAAAUAGUGGGGCUCAGUGUAAUAGUCUCUGCAAGUACAGGUCGCCAUAACACCUUGAAGUCUUUGCAUGUUUUACAGUGCUGGUUGUUGAAGCAUGUAUUUUAGAAGGGGGAAAUCCAGCAGCCAGUUUGGGAGUGUUCCCCGCAUGGCAUCAGCCCCUGCUGCUGCCACAUCAGUGCUGAGCUCCUCCUGGCACUCCCCACUCCUCCCAUCAUCUGAUCUUCCUACUGUUCCGUCCAGAUGGACAACAAACCUGCCUUCACAUGAAGUUUAUAAAUAAAACUACUGUCAUGACAUAGUGAAAAAUAUUAGUUCCCCCCCACCAGGUAUUAAUAGCACUAUAGUAAAUGCCAUCAUCAAAAAAA
This is a long non-coding RNA of Strigops habroptila (Kakapo), 2093 nucleotides long. Lineage: Eukaryota; Metazoa; Chordata; Aves; Psittaciformes; Psittacidae. The record is from Ensembl.